Long non-coding RNA from Neopsephotus bourkii (Bourke's parrot), 1258 nucleotides. RefSeq lists it as uncharacterized. The record is from RefSeq and is a predicted model, not a curated record. The transcript is spliced from 3 exons. NCBI's taxonomy places the organism in Eukaryota, Metazoa, Chordata, Aves, Psittaciformes, Psittacidae.
AUCUCCCUUCCUUGACUCAUUCACUGAAAGCAAGCAAAAACCAUGGUGGUUAGCAGGUACACAGCAAGGACUGGUCGGAUAAGCAGUGUCUCCAUGAGCUCUCUACCCAUGGUAGAGCAUGGUCAUUGUCUACGUGUUCUAGAGCCCCAUUGUCAAAGUGUAGAAGAAUACUCCCACAUGAAACCCUUUUAGGAAGCACUUUAUCAUAGAAUGGUUUGGGUUGGAAGGGACCUCAAAGAUCAUCCAGUUCCAACAACCUAAAUGUGAAAUCUCAGGGUGUUAUUUAACAGGGUAAUUCGUAUGCGGCAAUUACCUGGUGUACAGUUUUUUUUUUAACAGGGUGUUUUAGUUAGGAUGAUUUUCAAGAAUGCUUUUUGCUUUCAGCUUCCAUCAGUGCUGGAGCGAUAGACACGUGCUAGAUUGUCCAUAAAGGAUUCCAACAGGGCCCUAAGAUUGAACUUUUUGUUCUGCAGAUACAGAGAUAUCACAGUGUCCUGAUUACAGAAGUACUUCUGGGCUAAGCACUCAGUACUGAGAAAAAGAGAAUGGAGCUGCAUUGAAAAUCAACACAUAAAACAGAUUUUACAAGACUCAGGCUUUAGACUUCCUUGUUUUAAACUCUCAGGCUUGGAAAAAGCCCACACAAAGUCCUAAAAGGGCCACAGGUCUUCGAAGCUCUCUUGACACUUCAGCCAGUAUAAAAUGAGGGACUGUGUCAUGGAAAGAAGCAAUUGUGAAAAUCACUAAACAUGCAUAUCCUUGACAGUGCUGUAGCAAGAGGUAUUAAAGUGGUAAUCAUUGGAUGUAUAAAUCAGCAGAGCCUUUUCAGUGUCUUUGCUUGCCUGUUGUGCCCAGAUUUUCUGCUUUGAAGAUCAAUUUGAGCAAUUCUCCUUUCAGUCUUGUGUCAUUGUGCAUAAUUGCACACAUUGUUCUCCGGUCCUUGAGGAAAAACAGAAAUGUAUUUUGAUGUUCUAGUUUACUCUGUGACUGUUGAGGAGCAAACUGCUAACUGGAAGUCAACUCUUCAAAACAUUUCAAGGCUAUGGAAUAGCUUUGCGUUUGAGAUGUUAUUAAUCAGUAUUGCCCUUGUUGCUCAAGUGGGUCAUCAAAUGCAAGGCCUUGCACAGAUUUUUUUUUUCUACUUGAAUGAAAAUUGCUGAUACAGAUUAGGUGUGUUCUUAGUUCUUAGUCUAAGCUUGUGUAGUUAAAACAAUCCUGCAUAAAUCCUGUUUCUGUGUAGGCAGAAGCACCAAAACUG